GAUGAACGCUGGCGGCGUGCCUAAUACAUGCAAGUCGAACGCUUUGUGGUUCAACUGAUUUGAAGAGCUUGCUCAGAUAUGACGAUGGACAUUGCAAAGAGUGGCGAACGGGUGAGUAACACGUGGGAAACCUACCUCUUAGCAGGGGAUAACAUUUGGAAACAGAUGCUAAUACCGUAUAACAAUGACAACCGCAUGGUUGUUAUUUAAAAGAUGGUUCUGCUAUCACUAAGAGAUGGUCCCGCGGUGCAUUAGCUAGUUGGUAAGGUAAUGGCUUACCAAGGCGAUGAUGCAUAGCCGAGUUGAGAGACUGAUCGGCCACAAUGGGACUGAGACACGGCCCAUACUCCUACGGGAGGCAGCAGUAGGGAAUCUUCCACAAUGGGCGAAAGCCUGAUGGAGCAACGCCGCGUGUGUGAUGAAGGGUUUCGGCUCGUAAAACACUGUUGUAAGAGAAGAAUGACAUUGAGAGUAACUGUUCAAUGUGUGACGGUAUCUUACCAGAAAGGAACGGCUAAAUACGUGCCAGCAGCCGCGGUAAUACGUAUGUUCCAAGCGUUAUCCGGAUUUAUUGGGCGUAAAGCGAGCGCAGACGGUUAUUUAAGUCUGAAGUGAAAGCCCUCAGCUCAACUGAGGAAUUGCUUUGGAAACUGGAUGACUUGAGUGCAGUAGAGGAAAGUGGAACUCCAUGUGUAGCGGUGAAAUGCGUAGAUAUAUGGAAGAACACCAGUGGCGAAAGCGGCUUUCUGGACUGUAACUGACGUUGAGGCUCGAAAGUGUGGGUAGCAAACAGGAUUAGAUACCCUGGUAGUCCACACCGUAAACGAUGAGUGCUAGGUGUUUGAGGGUUUCCGCCCUUAAGUGCCGCAGCUAACGCAUUAAGCACUCCGCCUGGGGAGUACGACCGCAAGGUUGAAACUCAAAGGAAUUGGCGGGGACCCGCACAAGCGGUGGAGCAUGUGGUUUAAUUCGAAGCAACGCGAAGAACCUUACCAGGUCUUGACAUCCCUUGACAACUCCAGAGAUGGAGCGUUCCCUUCGGGGACAAGGUGACAGGUGGUGCAUGGUUGUCGUCAGCUCGUGUCGUGAGAUGUUGGGUUAAGUCCCGCAACGAGCGCAACCCUUAUUACUAGUUGCCAGCAUUCAGUUGGGCACUCUAGUGAGACUGCCGGUGACAAACCGGAGGAAGGUGGGGAUGACGUCAAAUCAUCAUGCCCCUUAUGACCUGGGCUACACACGUGCUACAAUGGCGUAUACAACGAGUUGCCAACCCGCGAGGGUGAGCUAAUCUCUUAAAGUACGUCUCAGUUCGGAUUGUAGGCUGCAACUCGCCUACAUGAAGUCGGAAUCGCUAGUAAUCGCGGAUCAGCACGCCGCGGUGAAUACGUUCCCGGGUCUUGUACACACCGCCCGUCACACCAUGAGAGUUUGUAACACCCAAAGCCGGUGGGGUAACCUUCGGGAGCCAGCCGUCUAAGGUGGGACAGAUGAUUAGGGUG
This 1499-nucleotide ribosomal RNA is filed under the name Weissella confusa. RNAcentral's name for it is "bacterial SSU rRNA". It matches the Rfam family "Bacterial small subunit ribosomal RNA". Lineage: Bacteria; Bacillati; Bacillota; Bacilli; Lactobacillales; Lactobacillaceae. The record is from RNAcentral.